GAGGUGGUGUUUGAAAGGCGGGAGGUCUCCGAGGCUUCGGGACAGAACCCACAGGACUGAUAAUGGGAAGCGGCAAGAGAUACUUCAUAUUUUAAAAAUAGAAGAACCUGCCCAAGUGUGCCACACUGUCAGGAUCAGACAUGGAGAGAUGGAUGGCACAAAGCAGGGCUGGGCAGCCUGCGUCUGUCACCCUGGCUGAGCUGGGAGGCUGAUAAGAAGCUGCUGUGAAAGGGAAGCGUUCUUCUGCUGAGGUCCAGCCCUCCUGAACUUCAGCAGUUGUUGCUAAGAACCGGCUUCAUGAAGCGAGGUUUCAAUUCUCGAACAUGAUGAUGCAGACAGACAUUAAAUGUACCAAAUUGCAGCUCAUUUUUGCCAAGGAAAUAAGUACAUAUAGUUCUGACUCUAAAAUGUAUAGCUUUUAUAUAUAAUUUGUUUCAUCUUCAGUGACUUUACAUUGUUUUAGUCUCUCUGGGCAAAAAGGUGCCUUUUAUUUCAAGAGGUUUUCUUUUUUAAGCUGCAUUUCUAAACACUUACCUUGGUUAUUUUGUUCCACACCUGAAAUCAAAUUGUUUUUCCUCUCCUCUCUUUUCCAAA
Molecule: long non-coding RNA, 594 nt
Organism: Pteropus alecto (black flying fox)
Lineage: Eukaryota; Metazoa; Chordata; Mammalia; Chiroptera; Pteropodidae
Exons: 2
Source: RefSeq, a predicted model, not a curated record